UGAGGAAUAUUGGUCAAUGGGCGAGAGCCUGAACCAGCCAAGUAGCGUGCAGGAUGACGGCCCUCCGGGUUGUAAACUGCUUUUAGUUGGGAAUAAAAAAAGGGACUUGUCCCUUCUUGUAUGUACCUUCAGAAAAAGGACCGGCUAAUUCCGUGCCAGCAGCCGCGGUAAUACGGAAGGUCCAGGCGUUAUCCGGAUUUAUUGGGUUUAAAGGGAGCGUAGGCGGAUUGUUAAGUCAGCGGUUAAAGGGUGUGGCUCAACCAUGCAUUGCCGUUGAAACUGGCGAUCUUGAGUGCAGACAGGGAUGCCGGAAUUCGUGGUGUAGCGGUGAAAUGCUUAGAUAUCACGAAGAACUCCGAUCGCGAAGGCAGGUGUCCGGGCUGCAACUGACGCUGAGGCUCGAAAGUGUGGGUAUCAAACAGGAUUAGAUGCCCUGGUAGUCCACACAGUAAACGAUGUAUACUCGCGGUUUGCGAUAGACAGUAAGCCGCCAAGCGAAAGCAUUAAGUAUACCACCUGGGGAGUACGCCGGCAACGGUG
RNAcentral lists this ribosomal RNA (540 nucleotides) under uncultured bacterium. Its description in RNAcentral is "bacterial SSU rRNA". It matches the Rfam family "Bacterial small subunit ribosomal RNA", at positions 355 to 896 of the family's 1533-position model. The record is from RNAcentral.